Molecule: ribosomal RNA, 783 nt
Filed under: uncultured bacterium
Lineage: Bacteria
Description: bacterial SSU rRNA
Rfam family: Bacterial small subunit ribosomal RNA
Source: RNAcentral
GAAGAAGGUCUUCGGAUCGUAAAGUUCUUUUCUUAGGGAAGAAACCAUGACGGUACCUAAGGAAUAAGCACCGGCUAACUACGUGCCAGCAGCCGCGGUAAUACAGAGGGUGCGAGCGUUAAUCGGAAUUACUGGGCGUAAAGCGUACGUAGGCGGUCAAGUAAGUCGGGUGUGAAAGCCCUUGGCUUAACUAAGGAAUUGCAUUCGAUACUACUUGACUAGAGUACAGGAGAGGGAAGCGGAAUUCCUAGUGUAGCGGUGAAAUGCGUAGAUAUUUCUCAGAACACCAAUUGCGAAGGCAGCUUACUAAGUCAAAACUGACGCUGAGGGACGAAAGCGUGGGUAGCGAACAGGAUUAGAUACCCUGGUAGUCCACGCUGUAAACGAUGAUUACUCGUUGUUGGCGAUAUACAGUCAGCGACUGAGCGAAAGCAUUAAGUAAUCCACCUGGGGAGUACGCCGGCAACGGUGAAACUCAAAGGAAUUGACGGGGGCCCGCACAAGCGGAGGAACAUGUGGUUUAAUUCGAUGAUACGCGAGGAACCUUACCUGGGCUUAAAUGUAGAGAGACCGCUUCCGAAAGGAGGCUUUCUUCGGACUGUUUACAAGGUGCUGCAUGGUUGUCGUCAGCUCGUGCCGUGAGGUGUCGGGUUAAGUCCCAUAACGAGCGCAACCCCUAUCGUUAGUUGCUAACAGGUUAAGCUGAGGACUCUAGCGAGACUGCCAUCGUAAGAUGAGAGGAAAGGUGGGGAUGACGUCNAAUCAGCACGGCCCUUACGUCCA